RNAcentral lists this long non-coding RNA (430 nucleotides) under Mus caroli (Ryukyu mouse). RNAcentral's name for it is "lncRNA (MGP_CAROLIEiJ_G0006300.1)". The record is from RNAcentral. Lineage: Eukaryota; Metazoa; Chordata; Mammalia; Rodentia; Muridae.
CACGCUAACUGUGCAUCUAGUGGGUACGCAACCAGCUGGGAUGCCACCGGGGCACAACCUUGUAUUCAGGCUGAUAGCACCGGGAGGCAGGGCUUCUACCCAGCAAACCGGUUAGAGGAGAGUAAUCAGGGAGCCUUGGCAGCUGUGACUGGCGUUCUGCAUGCCCCUCUGCUUCCUGAGGCUACUCACUUCCUUGCUUACAUGUGGCCACAGUGGCAAGUUCCAACAGUUUCUUCAGUCAACGACCCCUCCCUCCCGACUUUGCAGUUUGAGUCACCUUCAAUUUCCUGCCUGCCUGCCUCUUCCCUGAUUGACCUGAUAAAUCCAGGACAGCUUUUAUUGCUUUUGGCAAAACAUUGCCAUUAAGAUUUACGGAGCCAAAAGCUGGUACAAUGUAAUCUUCAGAGUGAUUUACACAGUGAGUUUCAAA